AUUUUUCUAGUAUAAUGUACAAGUGAUUUCCACUCACUAGGUCUUAGCUACCCACUAAGGAAAAAUA
RNAcentral lists this transfer RNA (67 nucleotides) under Gekko subpalmatus. RNAcentral describes it as "tRNA-Gly". The record is from RNAcentral. Lineage: Eukaryota; Metazoa; Chordata; Lepidosauria; Squamata; Gekkonidae.